GCCAGUGCACCACCUGAACCAUCACCCAUGACUACGACAUUUUGAGGUCCUACUUCAGAUACUAAUUGAUCAUAAACACGUUGUAUCGCUUGGAAAGUAUCGUCAAUAUGAAACUCUGGUGUCUUUGGAUAGAUAGGCAGUA
Molecule: small RNA, 142 nt
Filed under: Staphylococcus aureus
Lineage: Bacteria; Bacillati; Bacillota; Bacilli; Caryophanales; Staphylococcaceae
Description: HMPRFS0000_2620
Source: RNAcentral